CCAACUGAAUCUGUUUCAUUUGAGCGAAGAAACUCUGCUUCUCUAAUGGACUUGGACGAAGGUGGUAUGCAAGACCACGACUGGCAUGGUCUUGCCGUACCAAUGGAUAACCUCUCAGAUGUCCAUUUUGAUUUCUGGUUUUAAAACUCCAACUAGCAAAUUGUCUAGUUUAAGGUUAGACGCUUGAUAUUUGUUUACAUUUACAGCAUGACCUGCUCCAUUACAUGUUGGAAGAGCAUGAGGUCAUAUUUGUUUUCAAGUCUCGGUACUAGUAUUUCCGGAUAUGUUCAUUUUGGACGAUGUUAAUGUGUUCCAAUUUUCUAUAAUUUUGCCAGAACUAUGAUUUCUUUAAUCUUUUGGUAGGCUUAAAUGAUGCAAUGUUAUAAUUGUUGGAUGCUGUUCAUUCUCGCGCACAAGUGAUCUGUGUGUCUACGUGAUGCUGUCCAGACAUGAAUUCGAUUCUCAACGCAACUUUGCUUACUCAGGUUCUAUUUCACACUACUUUACUAUGAACAAUAUCUUUGUUUGUUUAUGAUUUUCACCAUUUGAGCUAUUAUUUUGUAAUAUAACACCUUUGAUCGUAGUAAUAUCGUGAGUAAUUGAGUUAUAGGUUAGUUUAUUGCUAAAUCGGGACUUGAUUCUUGCUGGAAGUGUUUAAUUAUGAGUGCAUCAUGUUUUGAUACAAAGUCUUUUUACAUUUCUUAUGAUGUUUUGAGCUAUUAUUUUGUAUUAUUCAGCUUUGAUUGUAGUAAUUGAGUUCUUGGUGUAUUGGGUUCUUACUAAAUUCUUGCUUCAAGUGUUGCAUACGAUCUUCAUGAAGUCCAAUAGAGAAGCGGAGUCUCUCCGCUCAAAUGAGAUGGAUUGAGUUGGUUGUUUUGUUCUUUUUUAGAUUCCAUGUUAGUAUUAUGUAUGUAGCGAUGAUUAAUAUUUAUAAAAUACAGCUCUAUCAUGAUCCAGAAGAUUCCAGUCUCAUAUUUUACGAGUUUCUCAUGAAAGUGAUAUCAUACAUAGCUUGAAAGUUUGAUGUAUUUAUUUUAAAAUUGCUUUAUCAUAUUAUUAUUAAUUUUAGGAUUCAUGUGCAGGUGGAAAUCUUGCAGUAAACAAUAAAGAAAAUGCUCCACAAAUAUCUAAAAUCGAAGAAGCCAAUGACUCAUUGGCGGCCUCAGGUAAAAAUGUAUUCACAUUACAUAGCAUGUUUAAUUCGUAUGAAAUAAUAAUGGUUCAAAUGUUAUGAGUGAUAUUUUGAAGGCUCAAGAUUCUCUCUGUUCUACAUUCAAUGUAGUAGCUGAGCAAGCUGCUCUAACAAUGUAGUUCUAUUCAUUUUCUUAAAUAUUUACAAAUAUACAGGCACAGAAGAAGAAACAAUACAUUGCAAACAUUUAUGAAUCUAUUCAACAUGGAAAGGAUGCGGAGAAAAGGUAUCGUUGCGUUCAACCUUAGUUUGAUGAUGCUCUUAUGGCCUCUUUUACAGAUAAGACAAUUAGGUUUGACUGCAGGAAUCUGGAGCAGGCCGCUAUGAGUAAAUUGAUUGAAAUGGCCUACAAAAGACAAAGGGUAAUAGUAUCUUUUUCAUCUGUUUAUUAAUUUUCUUUUCAUUAUUGCUAUCAGUGACCAAGUUAUAUUGAAUUUUAGGAAUCUUGGCACUAUAUACCAAGAAGCAAAUCAUGCAUCUUUCUAUUUAAACUGUACAUUCUAUGGUUAAUAGAAAUUUAAGUAAUUGCUAUGGAUGCAUACACUACACUUGCACUAAUAAUAUAUGAAAAAGAUGUGCAAGCAUUAGAUGGUCUCUGGCUCUCUCUGCCCAUGUGCAGGAGGGUCAUAGUCAUGUUAUACUGUUUGACUCUUAGAAGUUGAUAGAGAAAAGCUCAGAAGGUAGAAAGAAAUGGAACAAUAUAUACACCUCAUUGUACUUGCUAAAACUAUGUUCUUGAGUUGAUAAAUUUGGAUGGUGAAAGUCCUGAGAGUUACGGCCUUUGACUUUAUAUCGAAGUCGUGCUUAAUAUUUUCUUUCAAUUUCUGCCUCUUUUUUUAAAUGGCAACGACCUGCUAUAUCAUAGUUGGAUGCAGUGAAACCCUAUAAGCGAGAUCUAAAAAUCAGUUUCCUGCUGCUAUUUAUCAUGAUAGAGUCAGAAGUAUGAAAUUUUUGUAGACACUAAUGAUUUUCCAUGAGCNGUGCUUAAUAUUUUCUUUCAAUUUCUGCCUCUUUUUUUAAAUGGCAACGACCUGCUAUAUCAUAGUUGGAUGCAGUGAAACCCUAUAAGCGAGAUCUAAAAAUCAGUUUCCUGCUGCUAUUUAUCAUGAUAGAGUCAGAAGUAUGAAAUUUUUGUAGACACUAAUGAUUUUCCAUGAGCCAGUCUAUAUCCUGAGAGCUUAAAAUAUUAUGCAUAUGUCCUAACAUGUUGUGGUAGAUUGUGUUUUGACUGUCACUCAUAUUUCAUGGGUUUUCUUGUUACACUUGAUUAACAGAGUCAAUUAUACUAUUAGUAACUAUCAAAUCAAUUUUUUACCCUAAUAAGAAAUAUGCAUCACCCCUUGAACUUUUAGAACAUUUGGACUUAUUAAACGGUUACCUAGUUUCUACUUCAUAGCAUAUGGAUAAUAUAUAUCGUUGUUACUUAGUUUUGUUACGUUUUGCUGAAUUCAUAUAUGCUUUAAGGUGGAAAUUACCCCGACUAAUGUCAGUUUUUGGACUGUCAUGAUCAUCGGUAGUCAUUAGGUGCUGAACAAAAGAGUCCAAGAACAAAAGCAACCAAAAAUGAAAUGCUCAUAUAUAAGAUUCUCAUUUUUGGUCCAAAUUUGAGGUUUAAUGGUUAUCACUUAAUGCAGCUUUCUUAUGUUGAUGUGUACCUCAAUAUGUAAUAUUUACAGUAACAUUGUACAGUGAUUAAUUUUGAUACAAUUUUGUGUGAAUGGGAGAAAUCUUUACUCUGGAUGGGAAUAAAUAAUAUUAACUUUCGCUUUAAAUCUAUGAUUUCGAAGUCGUGCUGCCCUCCCCCUUCCUCACCUCUCUCUCUUCUCUAAUCUUAGGUUUCUUAUGGGAGUCAUUUCUCGAAGAGAGUCCUCCGCAGGGUCAAUAAACAAGCUGCUUUGCCUUUUGCUGAACGUACUUUUGCCAGAUGCCUAGAGUUUGAAGAUACUGGGAGGAACUGCUUUAGAAAAGCUGCUUCUAGUUCAUCAGUUGCUAUUGGGAGCGAUGUUGCAAGGGGAAAUGAGGAGCCGCACAAUGUAGGAAAGAAUCGUGUGAACCCUUCAACAAAACAACCAACUGCAUCUGUUCCAUAUGAGCGCAGAGACUCGGCUUCUUUAAUGGACUUGGACGAAGGUGGUAUGCAAGACCACGACUGGCAAGGUCUCGCCAUACCAAUGGAUAACCUCUCAGAUGUCCAUUUUGAUUACUGGUUUUAAAACACCAAAUAGCAAGCUGUUUAGUUUAAGGUUAGACGCUUGAUAUUUGUUUACAUUUACAGCGUGACCUGCUCCAUUACAUGUUGGAAGAGCAUGAGGUCAUAUUUGUUUUCAAGUCUCGGUACUAGUAUUUCCGGA
Molecule: long non-coding RNA, 3543 nt
Filed under: Daucus carota (carrot)
Lineage: Eukaryota; Viridiplantae; Streptophyta; Magnoliopsida; Apiales; Apiaceae
Description: long non-coding RNA (DCAR_LNC001303)
Source: RNAcentral